Molecule: ribosomal RNA, 465 nt
Filed under: uncultured Klebsiella sp.
Lineage: Bacteria; Pseudomonadati; Pseudomonadota; Gammaproteobacteria; Enterobacterales; Enterobacteriaceae
Description: bacterial SSU rRNA
Rfam family: Bacterial small subunit ribosomal RNA
Source: RNAcentral
CCUACGGGUGGCUGCAGUGGGGAAUAUUGCACAAUGGGCGCAAGCCUGAUGCAGCCAUGCCGCGUGUGUGAAGAAGGCCUUCGGGUUGUAAAGCACUUUCAGCGGGGAGGAAGGCGGUGAGGUUAAUAACCUCAUCGAUUGACGUUACCCGCAGAAGAAGCACCGGCUAACUCCGAGCCAGCAGCCGCGGUAAUACGGAGGGUGCAAGCGUUAAUCGGAAUUACUGGGCGUAAAGCGCACGCAGGCGGUCUGUCAAGUCGGAUGUGAAAUCCCCGGGCUCAACCUGGGAACUGCAUUCGAAACUGGCAGGCUAGAGUCUUGUAGAGGGGGGUAGAAUUCCAGGUGUAGCGGUGAAAUGCGUAGAGAUCUGGAGGAAUACCGGUGGCGAAGGCGGCCCCCUGGACAAAGACUGACGCUCAGGUGCGAAAGCGUGGGGAGCAAACAGGAUUAGAUACCCUUGUAGUC